RNAcentral lists this ribosomal RNA (488 nucleotides) under Trichoderma virens. RNAcentral describes it as "eukaryotic LSU rRNA". The stretch from base 104 to 257 matches the Rfam family "5.8S ribosomal RNA". Lineage: Eukaryota; Fungi; Ascomycota; Sordariomycetes; Hypocreales; Hypocreaceae. The record is from RNAcentral.
CCGCCGGAGGACCAACCAAAACUCUUAUUGUAUACCCCCUCGCGGGUUUUUUACUAUCUGAGCCAUCUCGGCGCCCCUCGUGGGCGUUUCGAAAAUGAAUCAAAACUUUCAACAACGGAUCUCUUGGUUCUGGCAUCGAUGAAGAACGCAGCGAAAUGCGAUAAGUAAUGUGAAUUGCAGAAUUCAGUGAAUCAUCGAAUCUUUGAACGCACAUUGCGCCCGCCAGUAUUCUGGCGGGCAUGCCUGUCCGAGCGUCAUUUCAACCCUCGAACCCCUCCGGGGGGUCGGCGUUGGGGAUCGGCCCUUUACGGGGCCGGCCCCGAAAUACAGUGGCGGUCUCGCCGCAGCCUCUCCUGCGCAGUAGUUUGCACACUCGCAUCGGGAGCGCGGCGCGUCCACAGCCGUUAAACACCCCAAACUUCUGAAAUGUUGACCUCGGAUCAGGUAGGAAUACCCGCUGAACUUAAGCAUAUCAAUAAGCGGAGGAA